Molecule: ribosomal RNA, 909 nt
Filed under: uncultured bacterium
Lineage: Bacteria
Description: bacterial SSU rRNA
Rfam family: Bacterial small subunit ribosomal RNA
Source: RNAcentral
ACGCUGGCGGCAUGCUUUACACAUGCAAGUCGGACGGCAGCACAGAGAAGCUUGCUUCUUGGGUGGCGAGUGCCGAACGGGUGAGUAAUAUAUCGGAACGUACCGAGUAAUGGGGGAUAACUAAUCGAAAGAUUAGCUAAUACCGCAUAUUCUCUGAGGAGGAAAGCAGGGGACCUUCGGGCCUUGCGUUAUUCGAGCGGCCGAUAUCUGAUUAGCUAGUUGGUGGGGUAAAGGCCUACCAAGGCGACGAUCAGUAGCGGGUCUGAGAGGAUGAUCCGCCACACUGGGACUGAGACACGGCCCAGACUCCUACGGGAGGCAGCAGUGGGGAAUUUUGGACAAUGGGCGCAAGCCUGAUCCAGCCAUGCCGCGUGUCUGAAGGAGGCCUUCGGGUUGUAAAGGACUUUUGUCAGGGAAGAAAAGGCUGUUGCUAAUAUCGACAGCUGAUGACGGUACCUGAAGAAUAAGCACCGGCUAACUACGUGCCAGCAGCCGCGGUAAUACGUAGGGUGCGAGCGUUAAUCGGAAUUACUGGGCGUAAAGCGAGCGCAGACGGUUACUUAAGCAGGAUGUGAAAUCCCCGGGCUCAACCUGGGAACUGCGUUCUGAACUGGGUGACUAGAGUGUGUCAGAGGGAGGUAGAAUUCCACGUGUAGCAGUGAAAUGCGUAGAGAUGUGGAGGAAUACCGAUGGCGAAGGCAGCCUCCUGGGAUAACACUGACGUUCAUGCUCGAAAGCGUGGGUAGCAAACAGGAUUAGAUACCCUGGUAGUCCACGCCCUAAACGAUGUCAAUUAGCUGUUGGGCAACUUGAUUGCUUAGUAGCGUAGCUAACGCGUGAAAUUGACCGCCUGGGGAGUACGGUCGCAAGAUUAAAACUCAAAGGAAUUGACGGGGACCCGCACAAGCG